Molecule: ribosomal RNA, 253 nt
Filed under: uncultured bacterium
Lineage: Bacteria
Description: partial 16S ribosomal RNA
Rfam family: Bacterial small subunit ribosomal RNA
Source: RNAcentral
UACGUAGGGUCCGAGCGUUGUCCGGAAUUACUGGGCGUAAAGAGCUCGUAGGUGGUUUGUCGCGUUGUUCGUGAAAACUCACAGCUUAACUGUGAGCGUGCGGGCGAUACGGGCAGACUGGAGUACUGCAGGGGAGACUGGAAUUCCUGGUGUAGCGGUGGAAUGCGCAGAUAUCAGGAGGAACACCGGUGGCGAAGGCGGGUCUCUGGGCAGUAACUGACGCUGAGGAGCGAAAGCGUGGGGAGCGAACAGG